CCUACGGGUGGCAGCAGUGAGGAAUAUUGGUCAAUGGGCGGGAGCCUGAACCAGCCAAGUCGCGUGAGGGAAGACGGUCCUACGGAUUGUAAACCUCUUUUGCCGGGGAGCAACGGGGUCCUUGCGAGGGCCCGAUGAGAGUACCCGGAGAAAAAGCAUCGGCUAACUCCGUGCCAGCAGCCGCGGUAAUACGGAGGAUGCGAGCGUUAUCCGGAUUUAUUGGGUUUAAAGGGAGCGUAGACGGUUAAGUAAGUCUGGAGUGAAAGGCCGGGGCCCAACCCCGGGACUGCUCUGGAAACUAUUGAACUUGAGUGCAGGAGAGGUAAGCGGAAUUCCUAGUGUAGCGGUGAAAUGCGUAGAUAUUAGGAGGAACACCAGUGGCGAAGGCGGCUUACUGGACUGUAACUGACGUUGAGGCUCGAAAGCGUGGGGAGCAAACAGGAUUAGAUACCCGUGUAGUC
RNAcentral lists this ribosomal RNA (461 nucleotides) under uncultured bacterium. RNAcentral describes it as "partial 16S ribosomal RNA". It matches the Rfam family "Bacterial small subunit ribosomal RNA", at positions 338 to 795 of the family's 1533-position model. The record is from RNAcentral.